CCUACGGGAGGCAGCAGUGGGGAAUAUUGGGCAAUGGAGGCAACUCUGACCCAGCAACGCCGCGUGAAUGAUGAAGGUCUUCGGAUUGUAAAGUUCUUUUCUAAGGGAAGAAGAUAGUGACGGUACCUUAGGAAUAAGCCUCGGCUAACUACGUGCCAGCAGCCGCGGUAAUACGUAGGAGGCAAGCGUUAUCCGGAAGGACUGGGCGUAAAGGGGGCGUAGGUGGUUUGACAAGUUAGUAGCGAAACUCCGGGGCUCAACUUCGGAACUACUACUAAAACUGUUGGACUUGAGUGCAGGAGGGGCAAUCGGAAUUCCUAGUGUAGCGGUAAAAUGCGUAGAGAUUAGGAGGAACACCAGUGGCGAAGGCGAAUUGCUAGAAUGUAACUGACGCUGAGGCACGAAAGCGUGGGGAGCAAACAGGAUUAGAUACCCUUGUAGUC
RNAcentral lists this ribosomal RNA (443 nucleotides) under uncultured bacterium. RNAcentral's name for it is "partial 16S ribosomal RNA". It matches the Rfam family "Bacterial small subunit ribosomal RNA", at positions 338 to 795 of the family's 1533-position model. The record is from RNAcentral.